RNAcentral lists this ribosomal RNA (497 nucleotides) under uncultured bacterium. RNAcentral's name for it is "partial 16S ribosomal RNA". It matches the Rfam family "Bacterial small subunit ribosomal RNA", at positions 28 to 507 of the family's 1533-position model. The record is from RNAcentral.
GAUGAACGCUGGCGGCGUGCCUAAUACAUGCAAGUCGAGCGAACAGACGAGGAGCUUGCUCCUCUGACGUUAGCGGCGGACGGGUGAGUAACACGUGGAUAACCUACCUAUAAGACUGGGAUAACUUCGGGAAACCGGAGCUAAUACCGGAUAAUAUAUUGAACCGCAUGGUUCAAUAGUGAAAGACGGUUUUGCUGUCACUUAUAGAUGGACCCGCGCCGCAUUAGCUAGUUGGUAAGGUAACGGCUUACCAAGGCAACGAUGCGUAGCCGACCUGAGAGGGUGAUCGGCCACACUGGAACUGAGACACGGUCCAGACUCCUACGGGAGGCAGCAGUAGGGAAUCUUCCGCAAUGGGCGAAAGCCUGACGGAGCAACGCCGCGUGAGUGAUGAAGGUCUUCGGAUCGUAAAACUCUGUUAUUAGGGAAGAACAAAUGUGUAAGUAACUAUGCACGUCUUGACGGUACCUAAUCAGAAAGCCGCGGCUAACUACGUG